Molecule: ribosomal RNA, 440 nt
Filed under: uncultured Glomus
Lineage: Eukaryota; Fungi; Glomeromycota; Glomeromycetes; Glomerales; Glomeraceae
Description: SSU rRNA
Rfam family: Eukaryotic small subunit ribosomal RNA
Source: RNAcentral
GGUUGGUCGUGCCACUGGUACGUACUGGUCUCACUGGAACUCCUCCUUCCUGAUGAACUGUAAUGCCAUUAAUUUGGUGUUGCGGGGAAACUGGACUGUUACUUUGAAAAAAUUAGAGUGUUUAAAGCAAGCUAACGCUUGAAUACAUUAGCAUGGAAUAAUGAAAUAGGACGUUCGAUCCUAUUUUAGUUGGUUUCUAGGAUUGACGUAAUGAUUAAUAGGGAUAGUUGGGGGCAUUAGUAUUCAAUUGUCAGAGGUGAAAUUCUUGGAUUUAUUGAAGACUAACUACUGCAAAGCAUUUGCCAAGGAUGUUUUCAUUAAUCAAGAACGAAAGUUAGGGGGAUCGAAGACGAUCAGAUACCGUCGUAGUCUUAACCAUAAACUAUGCCGACUAGGGAUCGGAUGAUGUUAAUUUUUAAUGACUCAUUCGGCGCCUUACG